RNAcentral lists this long non-coding RNA (633 nucleotides) under Lathyrus oleraceus (garden pea). RNAcentral's name for it is "Pisum sativum (pea) long non-coding RNA (PSAT_LNC040823)". The record is from RNAcentral. Lineage: Eukaryota; Viridiplantae; Streptophyta; Magnoliopsida; Fabales; Fabaceae.
UUAACGACGACAUCAAACUUCAUAUAAUGCUUGAAAGUGUGGAUAAUACACUUUGUUUUGAUUCUACGGGCAUUAUGAAGAUCAAAGUAUUUAGACAGAAAUAUCUUCUUAAGGCAGGAUGUCGUCUGCCACGAACCGACUCCUUUAUCCAAUAAUGUCAAGCACAGACAUAAUUUUUUACAUUAGCACCUACAGAGAAUCAGCUUCAAACCCUUUCAUCUUGAAAGCAUAUUGAAUUCUUUCCGAAAUUGUGUAAAAACAAAAUUAAAAAAUAAAUAAGUAUUAAUUUUGUAAAUGACAAUAGUAAGACAAAAGUUUAUUUUUUAAUUGAUGUAUUAAUGCUAAAUUAUGUUCAAAUUUUCAAAACAAAAGACAUUAAUGAAUAUAUCUCAAAAAAAGGCUUGUAUUUUAUAGUAUAUAUUAUUAUAAAAUAAGAAAAAUUAAUUUAAAUCAUUAAAGUUGUUGUAAGAAUACUUUAUUCUUAAUUAACUAAGUUUUAAUUUUGAUUUCUCUAAGCAUAUAUUAAUGUUUGAUUAUAUUCAUCUAACCUCAAAAUUUGUAAUCGUUAAAAUAUAUAAUAACUAGCAUAUUAAUUUUUGUUAACAUUUACUUUUAACGUUGUUGAUUGCAUUA